CCUACGGGAGGCAGCAGUGAGGAAUAUUGGUCAAUGGGCUUACGCCUGAACCAGCCAAGUCGCGUGAGGGAAGACUGCCCUAUGGGUUGUAAACCUCUUUUGUCAGGGAGCAACGCCGGCUACGUGUAGCCGGACUGAGAGUACCUGCAGAAAAAGCAUCCGCUAACUCCCUGCCAGCAGCCGCGGUAAUACGUAGGGGGCAAGCGUUAUCCGGAUUUACUGGGUUGAAAGGGGGCGCAGACGGCGAUGCAAGCCAGGAGUGAAAGCCCGGGGCCCAACCCCGGGACUGCUCUUGGAACUGCGUGGCUGGAGUGCAGGAGGGGCAGGCGGAAUUCCUGGUGUAGCGGUGAAAUGCGUAGAUAUCAGGAGGAACACCGGUGGCGAAGGCGGUCUGCUGGACUGCAACUGACGUUGAGGCCCGAAAGCGUGGGGAGCAAACAGGAUUAGAUACCCGUGUAGUC
RNAcentral lists this ribosomal RNA (461 nucleotides) under uncultured bacterium. Its description in RNAcentral is "partial 16S ribosomal RNA". It matches the Rfam family "Bacterial small subunit ribosomal RNA", at positions 338 to 795 of the family's 1533-position model. The record is from RNAcentral.